RNAcentral lists this long non-coding RNA (1527 nucleotides) under Nicotiana tabacum (common tobacco). RNAcentral describes it as "long non-coding RNA (NTAB_LNC007444)". The record is from RNAcentral. Lineage: Eukaryota; Viridiplantae; Streptophyta; Magnoliopsida; Solanales; Solanaceae.
CAGCAAUCACCCAGUCCUCCCAUGCACUCCAACCUCACAGUCACUCAUUCCUCACAGUCUCUCAUUCCUCUCAAUCGCCCGGCACUCGCACUCAGUAGGUACCGGUGCUCAGUGGGGUGUGUACAGACUCCGGAGGGGUUCCUUCAGUUCAAGCGCUAUAACAAAUCAAUCAUGGCAUAAAUCAAGAAAACAUGUUGCGGCGUGCAACCCGAUUCCAUAAAUAUACUCACAAUCAAGUCCUCGGCCUCACUCAAUCAUCAAUCUCUCCCGUCUCUCGGGCUCUCAGUAAUCAUGAUAAUCGGCCCAAACAACAAUGAUAUAAUGUAUCAAUAAUGAAGGCCGAGAUGUAAUAUGCAAGUAAAAAUUGUGACUGAGUACAAAACAACAAUUUAGCAGAUAAUUCAACAUGUACGCGACCUCUGUGGGUCCCUACAGUGCAUAGUCUAAACAUGGUUUCUAACAUAAUUUGCAGUUCAAUUCCUAUAACACAAGGAGAAUAUAUGGAUAACAACAGAUUUUUCAACUAUUCGGUUCCAUGGAAUUGACCAAGUCAUAAUUCCUACGGUGCACGCCCACACGCCCGUCACUUAGCAUGUGCGUCACCUCAAAAUCAAUCACAUGACACAUAAUACGGGGUUUCAUACCCUCAGAACCAAAUUUAGAACUGUUACUUACCUCAAUCCGAGCAAAUCUCUACUCCAACACACCUUUGCCUCGCGAAACGGCCCCCGAAUGCCUCGAAUCUAGCCACAAACAAUGCGAUACAAUCAACACGGGCCAAAGGAAUCAAUUCCGUAAGAAAAUACUAAACUCUUAAUCAAAAAGUCAAAAGUCGACUCAAAAGCCGGGCUCACGUCUCGAAAUCCGAUUAAAGUCACAAAACCCGAAAGCCCAUUCAACCACGAGUCCAACCAUACCAAAUUUACCAAAAUCCGACACCAAAUCGCCACCCAAAUCUCCAAAUCCCUAGCCUCAAACUCUCAAAUUCCACCUUAAUUACACACAAACUAGGUGGAAAAAUCAAUGGGGAGACACAAUUAUUGAAUAAAUUAGACUACAAGUGACUUACCUCAAGAAAUCCCCCGAAAAUCCUCUCAAGAAUCGCCAAAUCCCGAGCUUGAAAUGUUAAAAAUGGUGAAAAUCUCGGAACCCUCGUUUUAAAUAAUCUGCCCAGCAUUCUCGCUUCUGCGGCCAAUUUAGCCGCUUCUGCGGCACUGCUUUUGCGGUCCAUCAUCUGAAUCUGCGGAAGCCACCAAGCCGACCAACCGCUUCUGCGAUCCUCCACGCGCAGGUGCGAGUCCGCACCUGGGGAAUUCCUUCCGCAUCUGCGCUCCACAGUCCCCCGUCCAACCUCCACUUAUGCGCUUCCCAGCUUGCACCUGCGAUCAAUGCUCCACAGGUGCGAUUAUACCAGUAGACUCCUGCUUCAGUAGUGCACUAAGUCCCAUUUUCGAUCCGUUAACCAUCCGAAAUCAACCCGAGUUCCCCGGGACCUCAACCAAUUAUACCAAGUCCUAAAACACGAUA